CAAGACUCAAGCUUCUCUGCUUGGUGUUGGGCGUCUGUCCGCGCUUCCGCGCAGGACUCGCCCCAAAGUCAUUGGCAGCCCAGGCCGUCCGACCCGCCCGCAGCACAUUGCGUUCGGCGAGUCGAGCGGCGGCCCCGGCGUCCAGCAAAAGGACCCUUUCUCAG
Molecule: unclassified non-coding RNA, 164 nt
Filed under: uncultured fungus
Lineage: Eukaryota; Fungi
Also listed under: 3 other names
Description: sequence contains ITS2
Source: RNAcentral